This 211-nucleotide long non-coding RNA is filed under the name Elaeis guineensis (African oil palm). Its description in RNAcentral is "long non-coding RNA (EGUI_LNC018249)". Lineage: Eukaryota; Viridiplantae; Streptophyta; Magnoliopsida; Arecales; Arecaceae. The record is from RNAcentral.
AGAGGUUGGGAGGAGAAAAAAAGAGAAACUUGUCUUCCAAUCCCAUCGCGUAUAGAGGUACCAAACUUUAAUUGUUCAAGAAUUGAAAACUCGUGCUAUAUCGUAUAUCCAUCACUUGCUUCAACUUCCAAUCUAUUACAAAGUAGGUGCAAUUUAGUUUAUUUUUUAUAUUUUUAAUGAUGUUUGAUUCUAAAUAAAAUAUAUCUAGCGG